Long non-coding RNA from Perognathus longimembris pacificus (Pacific pocket mouse), 150 nucleotides. RefSeq lists it as uncharacterized. NCBI's taxonomy places the organism in Eukaryota, Metazoa, Chordata, Mammalia, Rodentia, Heteromyidae. The transcript is spliced from 3 exons. The record is from RefSeq and is a predicted model, not a curated record.
CAGUGAUGAGGACAAAAUGAGGAAAAAUAUCUGUAAGGGAAUGUUUAGAGGUUUUGUUUACAAUUAGAGGUCACUGAACAGCAAGGAUGGGCCCAUGUGUUGCCAGCAGUUCAAGUUUCAAUUUGCAUUCUUGACUUGCUUAGGAGUUUU